Molecule: long non-coding RNA, 604 nt
Filed under: Cricetulus griseus (Chinese hamster)
Lineage: Eukaryota; Metazoa; Chordata; Mammalia; Rodentia; Cricetidae
Description: lncRNA (ENSCGRG00015038758.1)
Source: RNAcentral
CUUAAACAAGAAAAGAAGAAAGUGGGCCCUCUCUUCCUCCAGAUUCUCGAUGUGAUCCACCAGCAAGGGAGGAUGCCAAUGGAAGAUGCCAGGACUCGCGUUGCAUAAAAAGGAGACAACGCAUCCCUUCCAACCUUCAUUCAAGCUUAGGAUUUGAAAACAAAAUAAAGCCCUCACCCAGUGGCUGAAGGAAGCAGAGACAGACAUCCACAGAUAUACACUGAGCUGAAAUCAGGAAUUUAGUUGAAGAGAGGGAGGAAUGAAGAACGAAAGGGUCUGUACCAGGUUGGAGAAACCCACAGGAACAGUUGACCUGAACAAGGGAGAGCACAUCGACCCCAGAUGCUGUCGGGGAGGCCAGUACAAGACUGAUCCAGACCCCUGAACAUGGAUGUCAAUAAGGAGGCCUCUGCACUCCAGGGAGCCUCUGGUGGUGGAUUAGUAUUUUUCCCUGGUGCAAGAAGGGACUUUGAGAGCCCAUCCCACGUGAAGGGAUACACUCUGGCCCUGGACACAUGGGGAAGGGCCCAGGCCCAGCCCAGGAAGAUUUGGUGGACUUUGCAGAGCCCCUGUUGAGGGCCCUACCCUGCCUGGGGAGUGGUGG